ACCUGGCUGGCCCAGUUGGUGGAGUACGUGACUCUUGAUCUUGGGGUCGUGAGUUCGAGCCCCAUGUUGGGUG
This 73-nucleotide transfer RNA is filed under the name Ailuropoda melanoleuca (giant panda). It matches the Rfam family "tRNA". Rfam says of the family: Transfer RNA (tRNA) molecules are approximately 80 nucleotides in length. Their secondary structure includes four short double-helical elements and three loops (D, anti-codon, and T loops). Further hydrogen bonds mediate the characteristic L-shaped molecular structure. tRNAs have two regions of fundamental functional importance: the anti-codon, which is responsible for specific mRNA codon recognition, and the 3' end, to which the tRNAs corresponding amino acid is attached (by aminoacyl-tRNA synthetases). tRNAs cope with the degeneracy of the genetic code in two manners: having more than one tRNA (with a specific anti-codon) for a particular amino acid; and 'wobble' base-pairing, i.e. permitting non-standard base-pairing at the 3rd anti-codon position. The record is from Rfam by way of RNAcentral. Lineage: Eukaryota; Metazoa; Chordata; Mammalia; Carnivora; Ursidae.